RNAcentral lists this ribosomal RNA (404 nucleotides) under uncultured bacterium. RNAcentral describes it as "bacterial SSU rRNA". It matches the Rfam family "Bacterial small subunit ribosomal RNA", at positions 355 to 776 of the family's 1533-position model. The record is from RNAcentral.
UGGGGAAUCUUGCACAAUGGGGGCAACCCUGAUGCAGCGACGCCGCGUGAGCGAUGAAGCCCUUCGGGGUGUAAAGCUCUUUCGGCAGGAACGAUAAUGACGGUACCUGCAAAAGAAGCUGCGGCUAACUACGUGCCAGCAGCCGCGGUAAUACGUAGGCAGCAAGCGUUGUUCGGAGUUACUGGGCGUAAAGAGUGCGUAGGCGGUCCUUUAAGUUCGGUGUGAAAUCUCCCGGCUCAACUGGGAGGGUGCGCCGGAAACUGGAGGGCUCGAGUAUGGGAGAGGAAAGCGGAAUUCCUGGUGUAGCGGUGAAAUGCGUAGAUAUCAGGAGGAACACCUGCGGUGUAGACGGCUUUCUGGACCAUGACUGACGCUGAGGCACGAAAGCGUGGGGAGCAAACAGG